This is a long non-coding RNA of Neofelis nebulosa (Clouded leopard), 1951 nucleotides long. RefSeq lists it as uncharacterized. NCBI's taxonomy places the organism in Eukaryota, Metazoa, Chordata, Mammalia, Carnivora, Felidae. The record is from RefSeq and is a predicted model, not a curated record. The transcript is spliced from 2 exons.
AUCAUGCACCGUUCUCUGCCUUCAGCUUUUGUCCACUUCCCGCUUUUUCACUGUCCGUGACCAAUCCCAAGGCAGUACCUUUCUCCUGAGUUUUGUCUCAGAUGCGGCUGUUUUCCCCCCGCCCUUUAGUUCUGAAGGACCGCAGCUUAGACCAGUUCCGCCCCUCUGUGGGAGGGUCUUACUGAGCAAUGGCCGAAUGUCAGAUGCACCCAGGAAUGUUUGCAGGACCCUGCUGCUGCCGGUGCCCCGAGACUGCGGCCGGGGGCCAGCCCGCCCCAGAAAAAGUUCGUGAGAUGGUGUAGCAGCAGUUUUUCAGGGAUUAUGGAAAAUCACAACACACAUCUGGCACCAGGCUUCACCCUUAAUGACCUUGUUCCAGCACCAGCGAAUGUGGCUGUUCUCUGGGGUUUCUUGGGACCAGGUGGCCUCAACAGCCUCUACCAAAUGCCCUUCCAGCAGUGGAACCACUUUUCCUUGUGUGGCCGAAGAACCUCCUGGACCCCAGUCUGCUCCUGGGGAUUCGCCCUUCCCGCCAGAGCACCACCAGAGAUUUUCUUAUUCCUUCCUGAUUGGUUAGUGUCCUUGCAGAAGAACUCAGCCACCUGACAUGCAUUUCAGAGUGUCACAGGUUGUAACUGAUUUCCAAAGAACAGAACCUAUGUCACAGAUCAACCCCAGGAUUUGCAUGAUGAGCUCUGAAUGACCAGAGGCAUUCCCAUUAGGUUUAUUUUCCCAUCCUGCUCCAGGUUUUCCAAAUCUUGAGUGUGUAGUAGCCACUACUAACAGAACUGCUCUUUACUGGAUAUGAAAUAUUUUCACGUUAGAACAAUAUUGUUGUUAUUAUUUUCUCAGAAUUUAGCUACAGACACUGUGACUUAAUGCUUGCUGGAAGUAAUGAAGCCAAUAAGAGCCAGAGCUGAAAUUCAAACCAAAGCUGUACAUUUUAAAAUUAGUACUUUUUCUAAGACACUAGUUUGCCUUUGAAUCAGUACUUCCAACAAAGAAACUAAAAUGACUAAAAUUUUGUGAAAUCAGUUCUAUCAGAAAUUUCCAAAUAAAUUGCAACUGUCCCUAAGGAAGACAAACACUCGAGUAUAUGAAUAUAGAUCUGAGGUGUGAUCAACACCUUUUCAAUUCUGUUUGGGCGGCAGGGGAGGCAAGAAAAUUCUAAGGAGAGUUUUAAUAGUGUCUCAAGUAACUCAGGAAGAAGACAUAUUUGAUUGAUACAUUUCAUUUCAGGUGGAAUUCAGUAGUUCCGUUGAAAAUUUGACCUCACAGAAUACAGUAAGUUACAAAACCAACAUUGGUUUAUGUUGAUUUAUACUGAGAAAGGUUUUCAACAUGUACUUCUCAAAAAAAAAAAAAUGAGUUAGCUACAAUUAACCUAAUGAGUAAUAUUAGGAUGGGCAAUUUCAUCUCAUCGCUGGCAUCAUUGAAAAGACAGGAUUAGAAAAAGGACCUGAAAAUAUUAGCAAAGAUGCUUUUGGAUUAUUUUUCAAUAGUAUGGUAAAGAAACAUUUAUAAAGAAAGAAAGUUGCAGUUAACCAGUGAAUUGAUAACUUUUACGAAAAAACGUAAUUAAAGCCUUUUUAAGAUGGAGCCUGAGCAGCCUUUUCAGGGCAACUGCCUUGCAUGUCCUGUUUUCUGAAUCUUUGAACUAGGCCAAACCGCCAACCUUCCUAGAAGUCAGCAAGAACAAGAAUAUCCUGUUUGAAAAGACUGAAAAAGGUGAACUUGCACUUAGUGACCACUUUGUCAGACCAAUCGAUGAAUUACAAACCUAGCCCUGCUUGUCAGCACCAAUGAACUCUUCCCAAAAACAACUUACUAAUCUUCCUUUUAUUUCCCCAUAAAAACCCCGAGUCUAUGUCCUGUAAUUGGGACACUAUUCAGGUUUCUACCCAAAUCUGUGUACAAUUCUUUGAUCCCAAAUAAACGUUUUGCCUCUUGA